CCUACGGGUGACAGCAGUGAGGAAUAUUGGUCAAUGGGCGCGAGCCUGAACCAGCCAAGUCGCGUGAGGGAAGACGGUCCUAUGGAUUGUAAACCUCUUUUGUCGGGGAGCAAAAGACGCCGCGCGUGGCGUUCCGAGAGUACCCGAAGAAAAAGCAUCGGCUAACUCCGUGCCAGCAGCCGCGGUAAUACGGGGGAUGCGAGCGUUAUCCGGAUUUAUUGGGGUUAACGGGUGCGCAGGCGGAAGAUCAAGUCAGCGGUAAAAUUGAGGGGCUCAACCCCUUCGAGCCGUUGAAACUGGUGUGCUUGAGUGAGUGAGAGGUAUGCAGAAUGCGUGGUGUAGCGGUGAAAUGCAUAGAGAUCACGCAGAACUCCGAUUGCGAAGGCAGCAUACCGGCGCUCAACUGACGCUCAUGCACGAAAGUGUGGGUAUCGAACAGGAUUAGAUACCCUAGUAGUC
Molecule: ribosomal RNA, 459 nt
Filed under: uncultured bacterium
Lineage: Bacteria
Description: partial 16S ribosomal RNA
Rfam family: Bacterial small subunit ribosomal RNA
Source: RNAcentral